This 327-nucleotide long non-coding RNA is filed under the name Salvia miltiorrhiza (redroot sage). Its description in RNAcentral is "long non-coding RNA (SMIL_LNC013070)". The record is from RNAcentral. Lineage: Eukaryota; Viridiplantae; Streptophyta; Magnoliopsida; Lamiales; Lamiaceae.
GCAUCUCAUUAGGUCUUUCAUGGGUUGUAAUGUGGCUUGAGGCAUGAGGUGAGAAUUUUUGGUACGAGGCUAAGGUCAUACUGAACUUCAUUCUGGCACAGACUUCUCAGAAUUUUUUAGAUCCUUGCCUAUUCUUACGGGCCUAAGCACAUUCUUUCCCUUAUUCUUUCUCUUUUUUUUAUUUUCUUUUUCUCCUUCCCCUCUUUUUAUUUCUUUUCUCUUUUUCUGGACUUUUCUCUGUUUUGGGAUUUAGAUUUCCCAUUUUGCACUUUCUUUGUACUAGUCCUGCCCAUAGAAUCCAUCACACUAUUCUCCCUUCCUUUUGCC